This 77-nucleotide transfer RNA is filed under the name Candidatus Melainabacteria bacterium. RNAcentral describes it as "tRNA-Leu". It matches the Rfam family "tRNA". Rfam says of the family: Transfer RNA (tRNA) molecules are approximately 80 nucleotides in length. Their secondary structure includes four short double-helical elements and three loops (D, anti-codon, and T loops). Further hydrogen bonds mediate the characteristic L-shaped molecular structure. tRNAs have two regions of fundamental functional importance: the anti-codon, which is responsible for specific mRNA codon recognition, and the 3' end, to which the tRNAs corresponding amino acid is attached (by aminoacyl-tRNA synthetases). tRNAs cope with the degeneracy of the genetic code in two manners: having more than one tRNA (with a specific anti-codon) for a particular amino acid; and 'wobble' base-pairing, i.e. permitting non-standard base-pairing at the 3rd anti-codon position. RNAcentral also lists the same sequence under 3 other names. Lineage: Bacteria; Bacillati; Candidatus Melainabacteria. The record is from RNAcentral.
GCCUGGGUAGCAGAACUGGUAUAUGCGCCUGUCUUAGAAACAGGAAUCUGAAGGUUCGACUCCUUCUCCGGGCACCA